AUUGAACGCUGGCGGCAGGCCUAACACAUGCAAGUCGAGCGGAUGAAGGGAGCUUGCUCCUGGAUUCAGCGGCGGACGGGUGAGUAAUGCCUAGGAAUCUGCCUGGUAGUGGGGGAUAACGUCCGGAAACGGGCGCUAAUACCGCAUACGUCCUGAGGGAGAAAGUGGGGGAUCUUCGGACCUCACGCUACCAGAUGAGCCUAGGUCGGAUUAGCUAGUUGGUGGGGUAAAGGCCUACCAAGGCGACGAUCCGUAACUGGUCUGAGAGGAUGAUCAGUCACACUGGAACUGAGACACGGUCCAGACUCCUACGGGAGACAGCAGUGGGGAAUAUUGGACAAUGGGCGAAAGCCUGAUCCAGCCAUGCCGCGUGUGUGAAGAAGGUCUUCGGAUUGUAAAGCACUUUAAGUUGGGAGGAAGGGCAGUAAGUUAAUACCUUGCUGUUUUGACGUUACCAACAGAAUAAGCACCGGCUAACUUCGUG
Molecule: ribosomal RNA, 484 nt
Filed under: uncultured bacterium
Lineage: Bacteria
Description: partial 16S ribosomal RNA
Rfam family: Bacterial small subunit ribosomal RNA
Source: RNAcentral